RNAcentral lists this ribosomal RNA (492 nucleotides) under uncultured bacterium. RNAcentral's name for it is "partial 16S ribosomal RNA". It matches the Rfam family "Bacterial small subunit ribosomal RNA", at positions 28 to 507 of the family's 1533-position model. The record is from RNAcentral.
AGCGAACGCUGGCGGCAGGCCUAACACAUGCAAGUCGAACGGUAGCACAGUAAGAGCUUGCGCUUACGUGUGGCGAGUGGCGGACGGGGGAGGAAUACAUCGGAACCUACUUUUUCGUGGGGGAUAACGCCGGGAAACUUACGCUAAUACCGCAUAUGACCUACGGGUGAAAGCAGGGGUUCUUGGGACCUUGUGUGUCUGUAUGAGCCGAUCUCGGAUUAGCUGGUUGGCGGGGUAGAGGCCCACCAAGGCGACGAUCGGUAGCUGGUCGGACGGGAUGGUCGGCCACACUGGAGGUGAGGAGCGUCCGCGACUCCUACGAGGGGCAGCAGUGGUGAAUAUUAGGGAAUGGGGGCAAGCCGGAUCCAGCCAUACCGCGUCGGGGGAGAUGGAGUUCGGGUUGUUGAGCCCUUUUGUUGGGAGAGAAGAACAGCAGGUUAAUACGCCGCUGUUCUGACGGUACCCGGAGAAUAAGCACCGGCUAACUUCGUG